This 77-nucleotide transfer RNA is filed under the name Bacilli bacterium. Its description in RNAcentral is "tRNA-Ile". It matches the Rfam family "tRNA". Rfam says of the family: Transfer RNA (tRNA) molecules are approximately 80 nucleotides in length. Their secondary structure includes four short double-helical elements and three loops (D, anti-codon, and T loops). The record is from RNAcentral. Lineage: Bacteria; Bacillati; Bacillota; Bacilli.
GGGCCUAUAGCUCAGUCGGUUAGAGCGCGGUGCUGAUAACGCCGAGGUCGAUGGUUCGAUUCCAGUUGGGCCCACCA